This 76-nucleotide transfer RNA is filed under the name Anaerolineae bacterium. Its description in RNAcentral is "tRNA-Asp". It matches the Rfam family "tRNA". Rfam says of the family: Transfer RNA (tRNA) molecules are approximately 80 nucleotides in length. The record is from RNAcentral. Lineage: Bacteria; Bacillati; Chloroflexota; Anaerolineae.
GGUCCCGUGGUGUAGCGGUUAACAUGCGGCCCUGUCAAGGCCGAGAUCGCGGGUUCGAAUCCCGUCGGGGCCGCCU